RNAcentral lists this transfer RNA (73 nucleotides) under Vibrio anguillarum. RNAcentral's name for it is "tRNA-Thr". It matches the Rfam family "tRNA". Rfam says of the family: Transfer RNA (tRNA) molecules are approximately 80 nucleotides in length. Lineage: Bacteria; Pseudomonadati; Pseudomonadota; Gammaproteobacteria; Vibrionales; Vibrionaceae. The record is from RNAcentral.
GCUGAUAUGGCUCAGUCGGUAGAGCGCAUCCUUGGUAAGGAUGAGGUCCCCAGUUCGAUUCAAUGUGUGAAUG